GAUGAACGCUGGCGGCGUGCUUAACACAUGCAAGUCGAACGGGACUUACUUUAUUGAAACUUCGGUCGAUUUAAUUUAAGUCUAGUGGCGGACGGGUGAGUAACGCGUGGGUAACCUGGCCUCAUACAGGGGGAUAACAGUUGGAAACGGCUGCUAAUACCGUCGAUAAGCCGACACAGUACCGUCAUGGUACCGUGUGAAAAACUCCGGUGGUAUGAGAUGGACCCGCGUCUGAUUAGCUAGUUGGUGGGGUAACGGCCUACCAAGGCGACGAUCAGUAGCCGACCUGAGAGGGUGACCGGCCACAUUGGGACUGAGACACGGCCCAA
Molecule: ribosomal RNA, 329 nt
Filed under: uncultured bacterium
Lineage: Bacteria
Description: bacterial SSU rRNA
Rfam family: Bacterial small subunit ribosomal RNA
Source: RNAcentral